Molecule: non-coding RNA, 28 nt
Filed under: Mus musculus (house mouse)
Lineage: Eukaryota; Metazoa; Chordata; Mammalia; Rodentia; Muridae
Source: RNAcentral
UACAGUACCACAUUCUGCUCGCCACUAC